UACGGAGGGUGCAAGCGUUGUCCGGAUUUAUUGGGUUUAAAGGGUGCGUAGGCGGCUAAUUAAGUCAGUGGUGAAAGCCUGUAGCUCAACUAUAGAACUGCCAUUGAUACUGAUUAGCUUGAGUAUGGUUGAGGUAAGCGGAAUGGAUGGUGUAGCGGUGAAAUGCAUAGAUAUCAUCCAGAACACCGAUAGCGAAGGCAGCUUACUGGGCCGAAACUGACGCUGAGGCACGAAAGCAUGGGGAUCGAACAGG
RNAcentral lists this ribosomal RNA (253 nucleotides) under uncultured bacterium. RNAcentral's name for it is "partial 16S ribosomal RNA". It matches the Rfam family "Bacterial small subunit ribosomal RNA", at positions 524 to 776 of the family's 1533-position model. The record is from RNAcentral.